Molecule: ribosomal RNA, 251 nt
Filed under: uncultured prokaryote
Description: partial 16S ribosomal RNA
Rfam family: Bacterial small subunit ribosomal RNA
Source: RNAcentral
ACGUAGGGUGCGAGCGUUAAUCGGAAUUACUGGGCGUAAAGCGUGCGCAGGCGGUGAUGUAAGACAGAUGUGAAAUCCCCGGGCUCAACCUGGGAACUGCGUUUGUGACUGCAUCACUCGAGUACGGCAGAGGGAGGUGGAAUUCCGCGUGUAGCAGUGAAAUGCGUAGAUAUGCGGAGGAACACCGAUGGCGAAGGCAGCCUCCUGGGCCAGUACUGACGCUCAUGCACGAAAGCGUGGGGAGCAAACAG